CCUACGGGUGGCAGCAGUGGGGAAUAUUGCACAAUGGGCGCAAGCCUGAUGCAGCGACGCCGCGUGCGGGAUGGAUGCCUUCGGGUUGUAAACCGCUUUUGUUCAAGGGCAAGGCACGGUCUUUGGCCGUGUUGUGUGGGUUGUUCGAAUAAGCACCGGCUAACUACGUGCCAGCAGCCGCGGUAAUACGUGGGGUGCAAGCGUUAUCCGGUUUUAUGUGGUGUAAAGGGCUCGGUGGCGUGUCGUUGCGUUCGGUGUGUAAGUCCAGCGAUUAAAGGUGGAGCCGUGCCGGGUACGGGCGGGCUUGAGUGCGGUAGGGGAGACUGGAAUUCCCGGUGUAACGGUGGAAUGUGUAGAUAGCGGGAAGAACACCAGUGGCGAAGGCAGGUCUCUGGGCCGUUACUGACGCUGAGGAGCGAAAGCGUGGGGAGCGAACAGGAUUAGAUACCCUUGUAGUC
This 458-nucleotide ribosomal RNA is filed under the name uncultured bacterium. RNAcentral's name for it is "partial 16S ribosomal RNA". It matches the Rfam family "Bacterial small subunit ribosomal RNA", at positions 338 to 795 of the family's 1533-position model. The record is from RNAcentral.